Molecule: ribosomal RNA, 305 nt
Filed under: uncultured Saccharofermentans sp.
Lineage: Bacteria; Bacillati; Bacillota; Clostridia; Eubacteriales; Oscillospiraceae
Description: bacterial SSU rRNA
Rfam family: Bacterial small subunit ribosomal RNA
Source: RNAcentral
UUUGGGAAUAUUGGACAAUGGAGGAAACUCUGAUCCAGUGACGCCGCGUGAAGGAAGAAGGUCUUCGGAUUGUAAACUUAUUUUGUCAGGGAAGAAAUAAAUGACUGUACCUGAAGAAAAAGCACCGGCUAACUACGUGCCAGCAGCCGCGGUAAUACGUAGGGUGCAAGCGUUAUCCGGAUUUACUGGGUGUAAAGGGCGAGUAGACGGCGAUGCAAGUCAGAUGUGAAAUGCUAGGGCUUAACCUUAGAACUGCAUCUGAAACUGUAUUGCUAGAGUGCAGGAGAGGUAAACGGAAUUCCUAG